Amblyraja radiata (thorny skate) is the source of this 133-nucleotide long non-coding RNA. RefSeq lists it as uncharacterized. The record is from RefSeq and is a predicted model, not a curated record. NCBI's taxonomy places the organism in Eukaryota, Metazoa, Chordata, Chondrichthyes, Rajiformes, Rajidae. The transcript has 3 exons.
UUCCUGAAGUCGAUAACUAGCUCCUUCAUCUUGUUGAUAUUGAGGGAGAGGUUGGUGUCUUGACACCAUGUUUACUAAGUUACCGAUCGCCUUCCUGUACUCUUCAUUGUUUGUGAUUCAGCCUACCAUGUGG